Dipodomys spectabilis (banner-tailed kangaroo rat) is the source of this 631-nucleotide long non-coding RNA. RefSeq lists it as uncharacterized. The record is from RefSeq and is a predicted model, not a curated record. The transcript is spliced from 4 exons. NCBI's taxonomy places the organism in Eukaryota, Metazoa, Chordata, Mammalia, Rodentia, Heteromyidae.
CAGUGGGGAGGACAGGGCUGGAGUGUAGGCACAGCUGGAGCCCGAGCCGGGAGACCGCAGCUCCCAUCCUCCCCAGGCAAGACUACUUCUCUGGUGUCCACUACUGCCUGCCUGCUGAGGGGUUCUGGAAAUUCCCUGGAGCCAACUGAUGCCCUCUUGAUCCCCCAGCUCAGGGAGGCUGUGAUGUCAUCAACUAUUUUAUUAACUUCUCCAGAAGCCUGUUAAGAGUACGGUACUUGCUCCAGUAUCCUCCAAUUCAGUCCUGCCCAGGCCAGAUCGGGGAAGUGGGGAAGUUAUGGUCCAUGCAAGAGUCAUACCCUGAACUUUAUGGGGUUUGUAGCAACCAGGUGCAGAACAGUGUCCCGCCCACUCUCAACAAGAGCCAGAGAACAGACAUGGGCAAGGAGGAUGUGGUAGGGGCCUGAAGACAAAAGAAGAGCGAUAAGAUAAAGGAGAGUAAUUGUGGAAAGAGAAAGGGCAGCUACAGAUGGUGAAACCGAGGACAGAAAAGGAAAAGACCUGCUCAAAGUCACAGCACAAGGAGAGGAAGAGUGAGGACCAGCACAAAGAUCUCCAGCACUUCCCAGACCAAGAUCUGUUCUUGCCUCUACUCUCGCUGCCUCUCACACAC